This 202-nucleotide long non-coding RNA is filed under the name Capsella rubella. RNAcentral's name for it is "long non-coding RNA (CRUB_LNC001358)". Lineage: Eukaryota; Viridiplantae; Streptophyta; Magnoliopsida; Brassicales; Brassicaceae. The record is from RNAcentral.
UUAUGUACCACAAAAGUGAAUAUAUUUGAAAAACUAACUAAAAACAAAACCAUAUAUAUAAAUAUUUAUAUAUUGUAUAAAUUCAUAUACUUACGUAAGAGAUUUUUGAGACGUUUUGUGGGAUGUGUACCCGUAUGUCUUUAAUUUGUAGUUAUGUAUAUAAUUGAACAAUCAUAAUCCACAAGAAUUUUCCAAAAAAAAA